RNAcentral lists this ribosomal RNA (468 nucleotides) under uncultured bacterium. RNAcentral's name for it is "partial 16S ribosomal RNA". It matches the Rfam family "Bacterial small subunit ribosomal RNA", at positions 28 to 507 of the family's 1533-position model. The record is from RNAcentral.
GACGAACGCUGGCGGCGUGCUUAACACAUGCAAGUCGAACGCAAAGGCCCUGCUUUUGUGGGGUGCUCGAGUGGCGAACGGGUGAGUAACACGUGAGUAACCUUCCCUUGACUUUGGGAUAACUUCAGGAAACUGGGGCUAAUACCGGAUAGGAGCUCCUGCUGCAUGGUGGGGGUUGGAAGGUUUCGGCGGUUGGGGAUGGACUCGCGGCUUAUCAGCUUGUUGGUGGGGUAGUGGCUUACCAAGGCUUUGACGGGUAGCCGGCCUGAGAGGGUGACCGGCCACAUUGGGACUGAGAUACGGCCCAGACUCCUACGGGAGGCAGCAGUGGGGAAUAUUGCACAAUGGGCGGAAGCCUGAUGCAGCAACGCCGCGUGCGGGAUGACGGCCUUCGGGUUGUAAACCGCUUUCGCCUGUGACGAAGCGUGAGUGACGGUAAUGGGUAAAGAAGCACCGGCUAACUACGUG